CAAAANGACUCUCGGCAACGGAUAUCUCGGCUCUCGCAUCGAUGAAGAACGUAGCGAAAUGCGAUACUUGGUGUGAAUUGCAGAAUCCAGCGAACCAUCGAGUCUUUGAACGCAAGUUGCGCUCGAAGCCUUCGGGNUAAGAGCACGUCUGCCUGGG
RNAcentral lists this ribosomal RNA (157 nucleotides) under Fagonia chilensis. RNAcentral's name for it is "5.8 ribosomal RNA". It matches the Rfam family "5.8S ribosomal RNA". Rfam says of the family: 5.8S ribosomal RNA (5.8S rRNA) is a component of the large subunit of the eukaryotic ribosome. It is transcribed by RNA polymerase I as part of the 45S precursor that also contains 18S and 28S rRNA. Lineage: Eukaryota; Viridiplantae; Streptophyta; Magnoliopsida; Zygophyllales; Zygophyllaceae. The record is from RNAcentral.